Molecule: ribosomal RNA, 1281 nt
Filed under: Staphylococcus aureus
Lineage: Bacteria; Bacillati; Bacillota; Bacilli; Caryophanales; Staphylococcaceae
Description: partial 23S ribosomal RNA
Rfam family: Bacterial large subunit ribosomal RNA
Source: RNAcentral
CACACUGCCGAGAAAAGCCUCUAGAUAGAAAAUAGGUGCCCGUACCGCAAACCGACACAGGUAGUCAAGAUGAGAAUUCUAAGGUGAGCGAGCGAACUCUCGUUAAGGAACUCGGCAAAAUGACCCCGUAACUUCGGGAGAAGGGGUGCUCUUUAGGGUUAACGCCCAGAAGAGCCGCAGUGAAUAGGCCCAAGCGACUGUUUAUCAAAAACACAGGUCUCUGCUAAACCGUAAGGUGAUGUAUAGGGGCUGACGCCUGCCCGGUGCUGGAAGGUUAAGAGGAGUGGUUAGCUUCUGCGAAGCUACGAAUCGAAGCCCCAGUAAACGGCGGCCGUAACUAUAACGGUCCUAAGGUAGCGAAAUUCCUUGUCGGGUAAGUUCCGACCCGCACGAAAGGCGUAACGAUUUGGGCACUGUCUCAACGAGAGACUCGGUGAAAUCAUAGUACCUGUGAAGAUGCAGGUUACCCGCGACAGGACGGAAAGACCCCGUGGAGCUUUACUGUAGCCUGAUAUUGAAAUUCGGCACAGCUUGUACAGGAUAGGUAGGAGCCUUUGAAACGUGAGCGCUAGCUUACGUGGAGGCGCUGGUGGGAUACUACCCUAGCUGUGUUGGCUUUCUAACCCGCACCACUUAUCGUGGUGGGAGACAGUGUCAGGCGGGCAGUUUGACUGGGGCGGUCGCCUCCUAAAAGGUAACGGAGGCGCUCAAAGGUUCCCUCAGAAUGGUUGGAAAUCAUUCAUAGAGUGUAAAGGCAUAAGGGAGCUUGACUGCGAGACCUACAAGUCGAGCAGGGUCGAAAGACGGACUUAGUGAUCCGGUGGUUCCGCAUGGAAGGGCCAUCGCUCAACGGAUAAAAGCUACCCCGGGGAUAACAGGCUUAUCUCCCCCAAGAGUUCACAUCGACGGGGAGGUUUGGCACCUCGAUGUCGGCUCAUCGCAUCCUGGGGCUGUAGUCGGUCCCAAGGGUUGGGCUGUUCGCCCAUUAAAGCGGUACGCGAGCUGGGUUCAGAACGUCGUGAGACAGUUCGGUCCCUAUCCGUCGUGGGCGUAGGAAAUUUGAGAGGAGCUGUCCUUAGUACGAGAGGACCGGGAUGGACAUACCUCUGGUGUACCAGUUGUCGUGCCAACGGCAUAGCUGGGUAGCUAUGUGUGGACGGGAUAAGUGCUGAAAGCAUCUAAGCAUGAAGCCCCCCUCAAGAUGAGAUUUCCCAACUUCGGUUAUAAGAUCCCUCAAAGAUGAUGAGGUUAAUAGGUUCGAGGUGGAAGCAUGGUGACAUG